Molecule: ribosomal RNA, 770 nt
Filed under: uncultured Lasiobolidium
Lineage: Eukaryota; Fungi; Ascomycota; Pezizomycetes; Pezizales; Pyronemataceae
Description: SSU rRNA
Rfam family: Eukaryotic small subunit ribosomal RNA
Source: RNAcentral
GUAGUCAUAUGCUUGUCUCAAAGAUUAAGCCAUGCAUGUCUAAGUAUAAGCAAUCUAUACAGUGAAACUGCGAAUGGCUCAUUAAAUCAGUUAUCGUUUAUUUGAUAGUACCUUACUACUUGGAUAACCGUGGUAAUUCUAGAGCUAAUACAUGCUAAAAAUCCCGACCUCUGGAAGGGAUGUAUUUAUUAGAUAAAAAACCAAUGUCUUCGGACUCUUGGGUGAUUCAUGAUAACUUUACGAAUCGCAUGGCCUUGCGCCGGCGAUGGUUCAUUCAAAUUUCUGCCCUAUCAACUUUCGAUGGUAGGAUAGUGGCCUACCAUGGUUUCAACGGGUAACGGGGAAUUAGGGUUCUAUUCCGGAGAGGGAGCCUGAGAAACGGCUACCACAUCCAAGGAAGGCAGCAGGCGCGCAAAUUACCCAAUCCCGACACGGGGAGGUAGUGACAAUAAAUACUGAUACAGGGCCCUUUUGGGUCUUGUAAUCGGAAUGAGUACAAUUUAAAUCUCUUAACGAGGAACAAUUGGAGGGCAAGUCUGGUGCCAGCAGCCGCGGUAAUUCCAGCUCCAAUAGCGUAUAUUAAAGUUGUUGCAGUUAAAAAGCUCGUAGUUGAACCUUGGGUCUGGCUGACCGGUCCGCCUCACCGCGUGCACUGGCUCGGCCGGACCUUUCCUUCUGGCAAACCACAUGCCCUUUAUUGGGUGUGUUGGGGAACCAGGACUUUUACUUUGAAAAAAUUAGAGUGUUCAAAGCAGGCAUAUGCUCGAAUA